UUUGACUAUCCAAAUCUUGAAUCGAUUGGCAAGGAGAUUGUAGACAAAUGUGGAGGGUUGCCUUUAGCCGUGAAAACAUUGGGGAAUCUCUUGCAAAGAAAAUUUUCUCAGGGUGAAUGGUUUAAGAUAUUGGAAACUGAUAUG
Molecule: microRNA precursor, 144 nt
Filed under: Medicago truncatula (barrel medic)
Lineage: Eukaryota; Viridiplantae; Streptophyta; Magnoliopsida; Fabales; Fabaceae
Description: miR5230 stem-loop (mtr-MIR5230)
Source: miRBase by way of RNAcentral